UACGUAGGGGGCAAGCGUUGUCCGGAAUCAUUGGGCGUAAAGCGCGUGUAGGCGGCCAGAAAAGUCCGCUGUGAAAACUCGAGGCUCAACUUCGAGCUGUCGGUGGAAACUUUCUGGCUAGAGUCCGGAAGAGGAGAAUGGAAUUCCUGGUGUAGCGGUGAAAUGCGCAGAUAUCAGGAAGAACACCCGUGGCGAAGGCGGUUCUCUGGGACGUUACUGACGCUGAGACGCGAAAGCGUGGGGAGCGAACAGG
RNAcentral lists this ribosomal RNA (253 nucleotides) under uncultured bacterium. RNAcentral's name for it is "partial 16S ribosomal RNA". It matches the Rfam family "Bacterial small subunit ribosomal RNA", at positions 524 to 776 of the family's 1533-position model. The record is from RNAcentral.